RNAcentral lists this long non-coding RNA (2446 nucleotides) under Macaca fascicularis (crab-eating macaque). RNAcentral describes it as "lncRNA (ENSMFAG00000060285.1)". The record is from RNAcentral. Lineage: Eukaryota; Metazoa; Chordata; Mammalia; Primates; Cercopithecidae.
AUCUGGUCUUUGCCGCUACCCUCGUCAACAGCCUGAGCUGGAUACCUGGCUGACAAGUACCACCUUUUUCCUACACAGAUGACAACCCAGCCCAUAAGCACCAGGCCCAGGAAACUACCAUUCUACUCUCUGCUUCUAUGAGUUUGACUAUUUUAGAUUUCUCAUGAACUUCCAUACCAUUUCUGUAGUGAUCACACCAACUGAUAUUCCCACCAACAAUGCACAGGGGUUCUGAUUUCCCUACAUUUUUGGCAACACAAGCUAUCACUGUCUUCUUGAUAAUAACCAUUCUAACAGUGGCUCUCCCUGUGAGAGGAGUAUGCUUCUUGAUCACUGAAGGCUGACUAGGCGAUGCAGAAGGCUGCUUCUAACAAUUGAAUCUGAAAACUGAAUUAAUAUAGAGCCAAAGAAAAUACUACGACUCUGUCUUCACACUGCUCCUAAUGGCAUUGGCCACCAUCAGGCCAAGGGGGAUGUUCAGAACACCAGUAAAAUUGUAGACUCUGCUAAUAAAAAAAGAUAAAAUAGCUCAAAAUUAUGUCAUGUUUUAGUUGGCUUCAUAUAUUUUUUUAGUUAGCUUCAUAUUUUAAACAUAUUAUUGUUUUUGGUUUAUGUGUUUAUUUCCAAAAUUUCUGAUUAUCUUUUUUUCUUUGUGCUCUGUCCUUUUAUGAUAUCUCUAAGUCUCUCCAAGCUAACAAUUAUACUAGAGUGUCUGUCAAAUCGCUCCCACCAUCAAUAUCCCUCAGAAAAUGUCCUCCUGUAAUUUUCAGUGCUAUUUUUCCAAACUGGACUGAAUAUUGCUAUAAUAAGACGUUUGAUGACAUUUUUAUUUGUAUAGUCUAAAUUGUAUCUAAGUCCCAAAGCUAAAGACAAAAUAUCCUGUCGCUUAUAUUCUAAAUAGAAACCUAAAAAUAGCCAACUUUGGGUUGGCUUCCUUCAUGUCUGACCCCUAGAUCUUGCAAGGAACCAGCAAGCAACCUUCCUGUUAGGAACACUAGCAUCCCUCUUCCUCAUUCCUCAAUAUGCAUAAGAAGACUAGGGUAGGUAAAGGGGAUGACAGACAUUAGAGUAACCUGGGUUUUUGCUGCCAUUGUGAAAAACGUAAUUUUCUAGGUAAGUUGUUUUCUCUUCUUCUUCCAUAAGACAAGGAAAAGGAAAUUCUCAAUAUCUUCCAAGCCAAGUAAUAGGAAAGCCAAGAAAAUAACAUAAAUAUUUGAAAUGCUUACAAGAAGAGACAGACACCUUCCUUCCCUGAUAGAUAAAAUCCACAGAACUUGCAGUAACACCUGGUCAUAGGAGAUUAUGAGAGAGAUUCAUAUCUGUAACCUAUUGGGCAGGUAAUUAUUACUUUAGUGAAAAUCUCUUUCAUACAUACACACUCUGCCUCAUUAGUGAACAGUGUCACCUGAUCCUGAAAAGCGUGACUUCUCUCAUCCAUGAUGCUUUUUUUUUUGUUUUAUUCUCUCCCAUGCUCUCUCCUUUCUUCCCUCUUCUCCCCUCCCUCCAUCUCCUUCUCUUUCUUUCUUUCUUUUUUUUUUUUUGUUAAAGUUUUCGGCCUGUAAGCAUUCUUUCUUUUCUUUAAAAAAUUAAACUUUAAGUUCUAGGAUACAUGUUCAGAACGUGCAGGUUUGUUACAUAGGUAUACACGUGCCAUGGUGGUUUGCUGCACCCAUCAACCUAUCAUCUACAUUAGGUAUUUCUCCUAAUGCCAUCCAUCCCCCAGCCCCCCACCUCCCGACAGGUCCCAGUGUGUGAUGUUCCCCUCCCUGUGUCCAUGUGUUCUCAUUGUUCAAUGCCCACUUAUGAGUGAGAACAUGCGGUGUUUGGUUUUCUGUUCUUGUGUUAGUUUGCUGAGAAUGAUGGUGUCCAGCUUCAUCCAUGUGCCUGCAAAGGACAUGAAUUCUUCCUUUUUUAUGGCUGCAUAGUAUUCCAUGGUGUAUAUGUGUCACUUUUUUUUUUUUUAAUCCAGUCUAUCCUUGAUGGGCAUGUGGGUUGGUUCCAGGUCUUUAACACUUACCAUCAUCUCAGGAGAAAGGAGGAGAUUGGUGCAUGUUCUCUGUCCCCCAUUCUGAAAAUGGCACAUUUCCCCCUUAGUAUUUGGUGGUGCUUCUGUCAUCUGAUGUUUACUAAUAUUACAGUGUUUAUGUGUCAUUUACAAAAGAGGCAGUGUAAUCAUAAGAAAGAGCAUAGGAUUAGAAAUUUUGUAGACUUUGUUUAAAUUCUGGCUCUGUCACUUGUUGUCUAUAUGAUUUUGGGCAAAGUUAACUAUUUUCUUAUCUUUGACUUGUGAAUAAUGACAGCAAGAAUAACAGUGGCAACAAUAAUGAAAAAGUCAAUGACAAUGAUAUCAGCAUAUCAUUUGUUUUUCUCAUCAAUAGAUAUAUUACAUAAUUAAAACACCUGGUUCAGCUACUAAUUAAUUUAAUAAAUUUACAUUAAGUACUCA